UUGACGGGGAGCACCACAACAGGUGGAGCCUGACGGUUUAUCGGACUCAACGCCGGGAAACUCACCAGAUAAGACAGCUGAAUGAUAGUCGGGCUGAAGACUCUACUUGACUAGCUGAGAGGAGGUGCAUGGCCGUCGUCAGUUCGUACUGUGAAGCAUCCUGUUAAGUCAGGCAACGAGCGAGACCCACGCCAACAGUUGCCAGCUCGUCCUCCGGGAUGGUGGGGACACUGUUGGGACCGCCUCUGCUAAAGAGGAGGAAGGAAUGGGCAACGGUAGGUCAGCAUGCCCCGAAUUAUCUGGGCUACACGCGGGCUACAAUGGGUGGGACAAUGGGUAUCGACACCGAAGGGGACGGGAAUCUCCUAAAACCAGUCUUAGUUCGGAUUGAGGGCUGCAACUCGCCCUCAUGAAGCUGGAAUCCGUAGUAAUCGCGUUUCAACAGAACGCGGUGAAUACGUCCCUGCUCCUU
Molecule: ribosomal RNA, 472 nt
Filed under: uncultured Methanomicrobiales archaeon
Lineage: Archaea; Methanobacteriati; Methanobacteriota; Methanomicrobia; Methanomicrobiales
Description: bacterial SSU rRNA
Rfam family: Archaeal small subunit ribosomal RNA
Source: RNAcentral